UGCCAUCUGGGACUGCUGACUUUGC
RNAcentral lists this non-coding RNA (25 nucleotides) under Mus musculus (house mouse). Lineage: Eukaryota; Metazoa; Chordata; Mammalia; Rodentia; Muridae. The record is from RNAcentral.